This 677-nucleotide long non-coding RNA is filed under the name Aotus nancymaae (Ma's night monkey). RNAcentral describes it as "lncRNA (ENSANAG00000039219.1)". Lineage: Eukaryota; Metazoa; Chordata; Mammalia; Primates; Aotidae. The record is from RNAcentral.
CGUGCUUUCCCCAUCACGGAGAGGGGGCGGAGCAUCUUUAAGGAGCUUGGAAGCAAGCUGCGCCUAGCCAGUCUUCGGGGAGGAGCUGCGCUACACACAGGCUUCCAAGGCUUCCUCGGAGAAGCCUGGAGGUAAUGGCUGUCGUAAAUGCUAGUUAUUUUCAAGGAGUUCUCGAAGAUUUGGAAUAAAGCCAAGCCCCAUGAAAGACAGUGAAACCACAGAAGUGAAGAGCGGGAUAGAGACCCUGCUGGACAAGCAGUUGGAGUGAGAAUCAAGACAGCUGGACCACAGGACCAGACCCACCAGGAUCCACCUGACAGUGGGGAAUUUCAGUUUAACUUGGUGAUUCUCUUCCCUUUGAGGGAAAGGCCCCCUGCUAGUCCCGUCACUGGGAAGGGGUGGAGCCUUGUCGGAGCCGCUUCGAAGGGAGCUGUACACGGCCAGUCUUGGGGGAGGGGCAACAUUUCAGGAGGCUGCAGCUGACGAGAAGCUUCAAGAGAUGCACUUGACAUGGGAAAUCUGCAUGUGAUGCCAAGUGAGCCUCAGAAAAACAGUGCAACCAUAGGCAUGCCAAGGAGGGUAGGGCCCUGCCGGACAAGCUGUUGGAGUAAGAAUUAAGACAGCUGGAUCUCAGCACCAGACCCACUAGUAUCUAUGUGACAGUGGGUAAGGCUUUU